This 72-nucleotide transfer RNA is filed under the name Bos taurus (domestic cattle). It matches the Rfam family "tRNA". From Rfam's summary of the family: Transfer RNA (tRNA) molecules are approximately 80 nucleotides in length. Their secondary structure includes four short double-helical elements and three loops (D, anti-codon, and T loops). The record is from Rfam by way of RNAcentral. Lineage: Eukaryota; Metazoa; Chordata; Mammalia; Artiodactyla; Bovidae. RNAcentral also lists the same sequence under 5 other names.
UCCCUGGUGGUCCAGUGGUUAGGACUUGACACUUUCACUGCUGUGGCCUAGGUUCAGUCCCUAAUCAGGGAA